This is a non-coding RNA of Styela clava, 300 nucleotides long. The record is from RefSeq and is a predicted model, not a curated record. Lineage: Eukaryota; Metazoa; Chordata; Ascidiacea; Stolidobranchia; Styelidae.
AAACUGCGAAAUCAAAUUGCGAAAAUGAAGAGGAACUCUCGCUGCUGCCGGAAUUCGAGAUUUCGUCGUUCGGAUGGAAUUGAUUCAAAGCAUGGGCAUUAAACAAAACAUUUGGAUCGGCUUGGAUGACAUAAUAGAAGAGAAGAGUUUUAUUUGGGCGGAUGGUGGAUGUUAUGUUGAGUCAGAUACUAACUGGAGUUAUAAACAACCGGACGACCACAAUCAUAAUGAGGAUUGUGUUCAAUUGUAUCAUACCAAUGGGAAAUUGAAUGAUAACAACUGUGUUAUCCUAUUAUCAUA